AAGUCGUAACAAGGUCUCCGUAGGUGAACCUGCGGAGGGAUCAUUAACACGUUUUAACAACGUAUUAUUAACAAAUCAACCGCGCGAAUUAACUGAAUCAAAACUUUACCCCGACCUGCUAGAUUGAACGUCUGCUUGGAAUGCACGGAGUGAUGAGUAUGUCUAUAUGUGUAGCUUGCUAUGCAUAUCUUCAUGCGGUGUCUCCAAGCUGGUAUUGCAGUAUGCACAUUUCGGUGUGUGUGUUGACAGUACAGGACCUCUUUCUAAUAGGCUUAUAAACUUUUAGUUCCCUUCAUCGCUGGAACGACAAAACCCCUUUCACCACUUAUAAACAACUUGACUGAUAGCUUCUCAUGUUUAUGGCGAAAGCCGUAAUAAUGAUGGCACAAACUAAUCAAAUAUCUAAGCACAACUCUUAGCAACGGAUAUCUUGGUUCUC
This 439-nucleotide unclassified non-coding RNA is filed under the name fungal sp. RNAcentral describes it as "partial internal transcribed spacer region". The stretch from base 1 to 46 matches the Rfam family "Eukaryotic small subunit ribosomal RNA", at positions 1786 to 1831 of the family's 1831-position model. The record is from RNAcentral. Lineage: Eukaryota; Fungi.